Long non-coding RNA from Panthera uncia (snow leopard), 2677 nucleotides. RefSeq lists it as uncharacterized. The transcript is spliced from 3 exons. NCBI's taxonomy places the organism in Eukaryota, Metazoa, Chordata, Mammalia, Carnivora, Felidae. The record is from RefSeq and is a predicted model, not a curated record.
GGUUUUCGCCAGGACUCUGCCCGUGCGCCCGCCACCUGCCGUAACAAACCGCCCCGUCGGGGUGGCUACACGAAGGAAUCUGCCGGAGGCUGGACUCCAGCCAUUGGGGUGUCACGGGGCUGGCUUCCUCGAGGCCUCCCUCCCGUGGCAUGACGAGGGCCACCUUCCCCGUGUCCUCGUGGCCUCCCCCACAUGUCCCUGGUGUCUCCUCUUCUUCUUGUAAGAACACAGUCAUGUCGGAUCUGAGCUCAGGUAACCACAGUGUUUCCAGGUGCCCACGCACAGCCACAGCUUCGGUACCGGGCUUCAGACGCCAUCCAUGAAUUUGAUGAUACAAGCAGCCAUAAAGCCACAAAGGCUCUCAGUAAAGCCCGAGUCGGAGAAGGAAGGUGGGCGCACAGGGCCCCUUCCCCUGAGCCGCUCCUGCCCCCCAGGCAGCAGGCUGUCCAGAGCGGAGCCCUGCAGGUGACUCCCAGACGGGGGGUUCACGUGAAAGGACACUCCCUUCCUCGGCCCAGCAGUCCCCUCAGACCUGCCCUCUGCGGCCAUAUGUGCUCCAGGAGAGAGUGAUUCUCGGCUCUGCUGGCCCCCGCCCCUGACCCCCCCACCCCACGAAUUUCACCAGGAAGAAGUAACUAACAGCCAUCUGGAAGAUUUAAGAGCUUGCCUUUGGGAAAGUUUGAAUUAUGUAUGAUUUAAGAAUGGCCAUCUUUCCUAAAUAAAAUAUUAAUUUGAUUUUUCUAAAACAAAUAAAACGUAGGCAAGUGAUAGCCGGGAAAGGUCAGCCAUGGUGCAGACAGGAGCGUCCGGGACACGGCUCUGUCGCUGCUGCACAGCCAGAAGUUAAAACAGCGGGGAUUGCAUGGACAGAAACUACUUUAUUUACUCACCUCGGCUCUGUGCCAUCGAACACGGAAGAAACCACCCGUCCCCUCCUUUCUGAGAUUGUUCCUGUGGCCCGAAAACCAGCCAUCAAAAUUGCGGCCCUACUCAGAUGUCUAUAGACAUGUCCGCUGCCCAUCACCCUCCAGAUGACAGCAACCGGGAUUAUCACAGGACACGACAUUUAUCAGAGGACACGACUGUGGGGAAACAGGAGGGGGAGGCCCAGGGGACUGGCGGGCAGACAGUGGGCAGGGCCGGACCUUGAGAGAGAGGACUAGGGGCAGGGAUCUGACACCUGGGGUGUGUGGAGCCCCGUGCCCACAGCCGCCCCCUCCAGAAGCACCCCGUUUCCCUCCCCUCCCACACUGACCGCUCAGCCCCGGCCGAGAGGAGGAUGGGGCUGAAACGGCAGACAGUUCCUUCACGCAAGCCUGGCCGACACAGGCCAUGUCCCGUCCGCCUGAGCACCUCGUUUCCACGGCUCAUUCUUCAAGGCCCGCCAUGGCGGGAGAAAGCACCUGUGAGGAAGGAGCUCGAAACAUCAGGUCUCAGGGGCCCUGAGGGCUGCAACACAGCAGGGUGGAUGCCAGCGAGGACAGGUGAACCAUCGGGUCUCAGGGGCCCUGCGGGCUGCAGCAGGGGGUUGCCGGCAAGGACAGGUUGCACAGCGGCCACGGGAGGGUCCCGCCAAGGCCGGCCGGGUGCCCUGGCGAAGGCGGCGGGCUCCCCUCCUGCCCACGUGGGCCUCCCGGGAAACGCUGUCUUGUAUAACGUACGCCCCACCUUUCCCUAAUCGGAAUGCACACGUCUGACGGCAAAGUUCCCACACAGUAAGACCGUGAGUGUGGAAAUGGAGCCCAUCGGCCUCAUAGGGAAGGAGGGACUUUGUCUGCGUGACUCUGUUCCUGGCUCCCCCGGCACCCGGACCAGGCCAUCAGGAAUGAACCGGGCCUUUCAAUUAAACGUCAUGAAGCAUUUCCGGGGACCUCCAGGACCUCUGGGACAGUGACCACCUCCUCCAGACAUGCUUCUAUUUCCCCAGGAACCGCCGAGGCACCUCUGCACAGGGACACGAGAGCAACAGCUACGAUUUCCCAGAGGCGGGCCUCUCGCCGACACGCUGAUGUCUCCCUGCUCAGAGGAAGUCAUUCCCAGGCAGCAACGACCAGAAGAUAUUCAAAUAACCCCACCAGUGCCACGGAGGAGGGGACGGACGUGCCACAUCACCUCCCGCGAGGGGCCCGGGCACGGAGGGGGAUCUGGCCUCACUCCCAGACGCCGCCCCAUCGUUCCCACGGCCGAGCCCCAGCCCUGCGGCCCCCAGCCCUCCUGGGCCUCCUCGACCUCCCCGGGCUCUUCUGACGUGAGGACUGGGCCAGGGGCCUAGGGGCCAGAGCGGUUCAUCAGAGCCAGGACCCAGGACCGAGUGGACUCGCUGUCGGGGUCCUCGCGUCUCGCACCUGCAGCGCCAACCUCAUCAGCCUUAGACCCCUGAGAUGGUGUCAAAACAGGGGCAGCCGUGACCUUGGGCACCGACCCCGAAUGCUGCGUCUUCGCCCUACAAGCCUGUCGCUCACAUCAUAACCCACGAACCAUCCGACGUUCAAGGGGCAGAACCCUGUGAAUCGGGGCCACAGAGUCACCACAAAACACUGAAGAAAGGGGUGCCCAGGUGGCUCAGUAGGUUGAGCGUCCAACUCUUCAUCUCUGCUCAGGUCGUGAUCCCAGGCAGGGUCAGGGGAUCUCUCUCUCUCUCUCUCUUUCUCUCUCUCUCUCUCUCUCUCUCUCCCUC